GACGAACGCUGGCGGCGUGCUUAACACAUGCAAGUCGAACGGAAAGGCCCUGCUUUUGUGGGGUGCUCGAGUGGCGAACGGGUGAGUAACACGUGAGUAACCUGCCCUUGACUUUGGGAUAACUUCAGGAAACUGGGGCUAAUACCGGAUAGGAGCUCCUGCUGCAUGGUGGGGGUUGGAAAGUUUCGGCGGUUGGGGAUGGACUCGCGGCUUAUCAGCUUGUUGGUGGGGUAGUGGCUUACCAAGGCUUUGACGGGUAGCCGGCCUGGGAGGGUGACCGGCCACAUUGGGCCUGAGAUACGGCCCAUACUCCUACGGGCGGCAGCAGUGGGGAAUAUUGCGCAAUGGGCGGAGGCCUGAUGCAGCAACGCCGCGUGCGGGAUGACGGCCUUCGGGUUGUAAACCGCUUUCGCCUGUGACGAAGCGUGAGUGACGGUAAUGGGUAAAGAAGCACCGGCUAACUACGU
This 467-nucleotide ribosomal RNA is filed under the name uncultured bacterium. Its description in RNAcentral is "partial 16S ribosomal RNA". It matches the Rfam family "Bacterial small subunit ribosomal RNA", at positions 28 to 506 of the family's 1533-position model. The record is from RNAcentral.